UGCUCCCUGCAGAGAACUAGCUGAUCAC
This 28-nucleotide non-coding RNA is filed under the name Mus musculus (house mouse). Lineage: Eukaryota; Metazoa; Chordata; Mammalia; Rodentia; Muridae. The record is from RNAcentral.